Long non-coding RNA from Carassius carassius (crucian carp), 333 nucleotides. RefSeq lists it as uncharacterized. NCBI's taxonomy places the organism in Eukaryota, Metazoa, Chordata, Actinopteri, Cypriniformes, Cyprinidae. The transcript is spliced from 3 exons. The record is from RefSeq and is a predicted model, not a curated record.
AGCUCGGGAAUGCGCCCCUGCAGCCCGGACCCGGUACUGCAUCCGCGUCAUCGAAAAUUUGCAUAUUUUACACUUGUGUAAGUUUUGAGGCCGCUGAUUGGCUAGAUCGGCAUCGAAAUCGCGAAAACAAAAUGGCGGCGGUGGGCGGGGCUACAUUCUGCCGCUAAUAGCUCCGUACAACGAGGCAAGUGUGAUGGUUUGUAACUUCCUGUUUGGAACGGACGCAAUCUGUGCACCUGAAGCGAAGACAUUUGUGGUGUGAAGCUAUUGGAGACAACUAUUAUAUUAAAGACACAUGAGAGGAUGGCUGAAGGUGCGAGGCGAAGGAGAAAG